UACCUUGCUUUGCAUUUUAAGUCUCUCCUGCCUAAUGAAAUGUCAUCUUUUCAGAGCUGGUGACCAAAUAAUUGUUUAAAAAUGUGCAUUCUGCUGGCCUUCCCGGAUUCCAGAAGCUGCCCCAAGGACAUAGUCUUGAGGUAAUGAUGUGGUGUAUGGAUCCAGUUGCUACAAAGAAGAUCGAAGGCACUCGGAUAUUUGGAGGUGGCCCCUCUCAGAUGAGAAGAGGAUCCCAGGUGGCAGAGGUAUGUCCACACGACUAAGUUCUCACCGACAGAAGGCUGGUGGAAGUGAUGUGACCUACUUCCAGAUCUGACCAUGAAACCUUGUCCGUGAACUCCUGCAUGGACCACAACCCACUCCUCCCCACCCCAAAUGGCUGGAAUGGCAAUCCUGAGUACUCCUGGGAGUCAUGAGUUGAGGGUAAUAGAAUCACCAUCUGCCUGGAUUUCUGGAUCCUGAAAGAAUGCUUAGAACAGACAGCCCACCAACUGGCCUGCUCUAGAUUAUUAACAU
Mustela erminea (ermine) is the source of this 516-nucleotide long non-coding RNA. RefSeq lists it as uncharacterized. The record is from RefSeq and is a predicted model, not a curated record. The transcript is spliced from 4 exons. Lineage: Eukaryota; Metazoa; Chordata; Mammalia; Carnivora; Mustelidae.